AGAAUCAACGCUGGCGGCGUGCCUAACACAUGCAAGUCGAACGAGAAAGUGGAGCAAUCCAUGAGUAAAGUGGCGCACGGGUGAGUAACACGUGACUAACCUACCCUUGAGUGGGGGAUAAACCUAGAGAAAUCUGGGCUAAUACCGCAUAAUACCUUCGGGUCAAAGGAGCAAUUCGCUUAAGGAGGGGGUCGCGGCCGAUUAGUUAGUUGGCGGGGUAAUGGCCCACCAAGACUGUGAUCGGUAUCCGGCCUGAGAGGGCGCACGGACACACUGGAACUGAAACACGGUCCAGACUCCUACGGGAGGCAGCAGUGGGAAUUUUGCGCAAUGGGGGAAACCCUGACGCAGCAACGCCGCGUGGAGGAUGAAGCCCUUGGGGCGUAAACUCCUUUCGAUCGGGAAGAUAAUGACGGUACCGAGAGAAAGAAGCCCCGGCUAACUUCGUGCCAGCAGCCGC
This 460-nucleotide ribosomal RNA is filed under the name uncultured bacterium. RNAcentral's name for it is "SSU rRNA". It matches the Rfam family "Bacterial small subunit ribosomal RNA", at positions 26 to 518 of the family's 1533-position model. The record is from RNAcentral.